RNAcentral lists this ribosomal RNA (2424 nucleotides) under Triticum aestivum (bread wheat). RNAcentral's name for it is "partial small subunit ribosomal RNA". The record is from RNAcentral. Lineage: Eukaryota; Viridiplantae; Streptophyta; Magnoliopsida; Poales; Poaceae.
AUGGACACGGACGCCGCCGUGAACGUGACGGCGGCCGCGGCCAAGGCAGCGGCCGAUGCCACGGCGACGGUGAAGCCCGUGGCGGCGGCGUGCUAUGACAACAACCUGGUGAACUCGCAGGGCAUGUUCCUGGGGGACCAGCCGCUGCGCUUCGCCCUCCCGCUCCUCCUCAUCCAGGUCUCCCUCAUCCUCCUGCUCUCCGCCGCCGCCCACCACGUGCUCCGCCGCCUCGGCCAGUCCCGCUUCGUCACCCACAUGCUCGUCGGCAUCCUCCUCGGCCCCUCCGUGCUCGGCCGCAACCACGAGCUCCGCGGCGCCCUCUUCUCCGAGCGCGGCACCUACAUCCUCGAGAGCGUCUCGCUCGUCGCGCUCAUCCUCUUCUUGUUUUCCAUGGGCGUCAAGACGGACAUGAGCCUGCUCCGCCGCCCCAGCGGCCGCGCCGUCGCCGUUGGCCUCGCUGGCUCCGUCGUCCCGCUCGCCAUCACGCUCCCGGUGUUCCACAUGCUACAGCCCACCCUCCCCGCCGACCUUCGCGGCUCGUCGCUCAUCACCGAGAUCGCCGUGCGCCUCUCGCUCUCCUCCUUCCCCGUCAUCGCCGACGCGCUCGCCGAGCUCGACCUCCUCAACUCCGAGCUCGGUCGCAUCGCGCUCACCGCGUCCCUCAUCACCGACGUCACCUCCUGGUUCCUCCGAGCCUGCUUCGCCGCGGCGUUCCUCGUCACGGAGGCCAAGUCGCCCGCAUUCACUACCAACAUCCUCGCCUCCUUCGUCGGCUUCGUCUUCUUCGUCGCCUUCGUGGCACGCCCCGCCGGACGCUACAUCGCCUACAAGCGCACGCCGGCGGGUGACCUCCUAUCGGAGGGUUCCUUCGUCGUCGUGGUGAUCGCGGCACUCCUGUCGGCGCUGGUGACGGAUGUGAUCGGGUUCAAGUACAUGAUCGGGCCGAUGAUGCUGGGGCUCGCGAUCCCCGGUGGCAUGCCGAUCGGCGCCACCAUGACGGAGCGGCUCGACUCCUUCUUCAUCGCGCUCUUCCUCCCCGUGUAUAUGGCGCUCGCCGGCUACCGCACAGACUUCUCAGAGCUGGGCGGCCACGAGGAGAAAUGGUGCGCGCUGGAGCUGUUCGUGGCCCUAUGCGUCGCCGGAAAGAUGGUGGGCUGCAUAGCCGCGGGGCUCUUCUUCGCCAUGCCGAUCGGAGAGGCCACGGCUCUGGCGCUCAUGCUCAACAUCCGGGGCAUCGUGGAGGUGGCCGCCAUCAACAACUGGGGAGACACAAUGAAGGCCACUGCCGAGCAUUACUCGACGCUGACCUUGUCCAUGGUGCUCAUCACGGCAGCGGCCACGCCGCUCAUCAAGAUCCUCUACGACCCGACAGGGAGGUUCGCGAGGGCCAAGCGGCGGACCAUGGAGGGCGCUCGGCCCAACGCGGAGCUCCGUGUGAUGGCCUGCCUCUACACGGAGGACCACGCCGCGCCGCUCAUCGACCUCCUCGAGGCCUCCGGCGCGAACCACGACUUCCCCGUCUCCCUCAUCGUGCUCCACCUCACCGAGCUCGUCGGCCGCGCCGCCUCCGUGCUCAAGCCGCACAAGAAGUCGUCCACGUCCACCGCAUCAUCGCCGUCGGACCGCAUCGUGAACGCGUUCCGCCACUUCGAGCAGCAGGCGGCGCCGGGGGCGGUGACGGUGAGCCCCUACGUCGCCCAGUCUCCCUACAGCUCCAUGCACCAUGACGUGUGCUCGCUAGCGCACAGCCGGAAGGCCAACCUCAUCCUCCUCCCGUUCCACAAGUCCUCGGACGGGGCGCGCAGCACGGCCAACUCCGCCGUCCGCUCCGCCAACCGCGCCGUGCUCCAGUACGCGCCCUGCUCCGUCGCCAUCCUCGUGGACCACGGCCUUGCGUCCGGGUCUGCGUGCGCCACGGCGUCCAACAGGAACCUGCUCCAGAGGGUGGCCCUCUACUUCCUGGGGGGACCCGACGACCGGGAGGCGCUGGCGUACGCGGCGAGGAUGCCGGAGAGCGGGGGGACGUCGGUGACGGUGGUGCGGAUCAAGCUGCGGAACUGGGUUGGGAUGGGCGGGCACGACGAGGUGAGGGACGAGGAGGUGCUCCAGGAAUUCUGGCAAAGGUACAGGGAAGACGAGAGGGUGGUGUACGUGGAGAAGACGGUGGAGGACGGGGAGGGGACAGCGUCGGUGGUGAGGUCCAUGAGCGACAAGUUCGACCUGGUCAUCGUCGGACGGAGAGGGGAGGACAGGGACGUCGAGGGGUCGGCGCUCACAAGCGGCCUCUCGGAGUGGAGCGAGUGCCCGGAGCUGGGCGUGCUCGGUGACAUGCUCGCCACCGCGGAGUUCGCGUCCAAAGUGUCCAUCCUCGUCAUCCAGCAGCAGGCCGGGAUUACCACCGGCGGCGAUGCCGACUAUCAAUGA